CAUGGUUUUAUUUGGGGUUAGGUCAACUACAAGGUCAACAUGUAUUUUGUGUCCUCAUGGUUUUAUUUGGGGUCACGUCAACUACAAGGUCAAUAUGUAUUUAAUUUGUGUCCUCAUGGUUUUAUUUGGGGUCAGGUCAACUUCAAGGUCAACAUGUAUUUAAUUUGUCCUCAUGGUUUUUGUCAACUACAAGGUCAACAUGUAUUUUGUGUCCUCAUGGUUUUGGUCAACUACAAGGUCAACAUUAUGUAUUUUGUGUCCUCAUGGUUUUAUUUGGGGUCAGGUCAACUACAAGGUCAAUAUGUAUUUAAUUUGUGUCCUCAUGGUUUUAUUUGGGGUCAGGUCAACUACAAGGUCAGUAUGUAUGUAUUUUGUGUAAUGGUUUUGGUCAACGUGUAUGUAUUUUGUGUCCUCGUGGUUUUGGUCAACUACAAGGUCAACAUGUAUGUAUUGUGUCCUCAUGGUUUUUGUCAACUACAAAGUCAACAUUAUGUAUAUUGUGUCCUCAUGGUUUUAUUUGGGGUCAGGUCAACUACAAGGUCAACAUGUAUGUAUUUUGUGUCCUCAUGGUUUUGGUCAACUACAAGGUCAACAUGUAUGUAUUUUGUGUCCUCAUGGUUUUGGUCAACUACAAGGUCAACAUGUAUGUAUUUUAUGUCCUCAUGGUUUUAUUUGUGGUCAGGUCAACUACAAGGUCAACAUGUAUGUAUUUUGAGUCCUCCAUGGUUUUGGUCAACAUUGUGUAUUUUGUGUCCUCAUGGUUUUGGUCAACUAACAAAGUCAUCAUUAUGUAUUUUGUGUCCUCAUGGUUUUGGUCAACUACAAGGUCAACAUGUAUGUAUUGUGUCCUCAUGGUUUUGGUCAACUACAAGGUCAACAUGAUGUAUUUUGUGUCAUGGUUUUGGUCAACAUGUAAAUGUAUUUUGGUCAAUAUUUAUUGUGUCCUCGUGGUUUUGAUCAACUACAUGGUCAGUAUGUAUGUAUUUUGUGUCCUCAUGGUUUUGGUCAACUACAUGGUCAGUAUGUAUGUAUUUUGUGUCCUCAUGGUUUUGGUUAACAUUUUUGUAAUGUAUAUGUAUUUUGUGUCAGUUUUGGUCAACUACAAGGUCGACAUGUAUGUGGGGUUUGGUCAACUACAAGGUCGACAUGCAUGUGGGGUUUGGUCAACUACAAGGUCGACAUGUAUUUGAUUUGUGUCCUCUUGGUUAACUACAAGCUCCUCUUUCACAUAACUCAAUUGUAGGUUCUCUUUUGGUCUCAUCCCAGAAAACCUGAUGGUCGUCUAUCAGCUGGAUGAGCUUGCGCAUCUUCCUCCGACAUCUCAUCUUCUACCUUGGCCUCCAAACCACCAACAAGUUGCUCUGAUUUAUAGUUUUGGUUGCUGGGUUGUGUGUUUUGACUCCUCGUGUGCGUCCAGUAUGUCCUUCACAAAGCUAUGGCUGAUUUCAGUAGGUGGUUCUUCAUCCUCAAAAAUAGGUAUUUAGUGUGUAUCCUCAAAACAAGUCUUCAGAAGAUUAGGACCAUUGGGGUCUUGGGGAUUUCUAACUCCACUGACAGUUGGUCCUUUUUGGUCUCCUACGGGCGUUUCCUCUCCGCUGCGGGCGUGCCUCCGCAAGAGAUCUGCAAUCAACACACCUGCCCGUGAUGAGCGACCAGCCUUCAUAAGCCAGCGUGUCUUAAGAUCCAGUGCCAGAACGUAGCUUCUUGUACCCAGAACACUUUCCAACGUCCUUCCUGGCCCUCGAGCUGUGUGUCUCGUCUACCUGGACCCCCUUUGGAUUCCCUCUUUUCUUCCUGGACUUCGACCUCACGCCUGCCCACUGACCACGACGCCUCGCUCCUGUCCUCAACCAUCCACCUCCCCUCUGACGUCCGAGCCUGUGUUUUCCCCUUUUGGACUUUUGCCUCAUUCUCAACACGCACACUCAACGCCCUCUGGUGACCACGCUCAGAUAAUACUUACACAUAGUCACACUACAUCUCUUUAAGCUAA
Molecule: long non-coding RNA, 1993 nt
Organism: Entelurus aequoreus (snake pipefish)
Lineage: Eukaryota; Metazoa; Chordata; Actinopteri; Syngnathiformes; Syngnathidae
Exons: 3
Source: RefSeq, a predicted model, not a curated record